Molecule: ribosomal RNA, 331 nt
Filed under: Lacticaseibacillus rhamnosus
Lineage: Bacteria; Bacillati; Bacillota; Bacilli; Lactobacillales; Lactobacillaceae
Description: bacterial SSU rRNA
Rfam family: Bacterial small subunit ribosomal RNA
Source: RNAcentral
UUAAUUUUGAACGAUGGCGGACGGGUGAGUAACACGUGGGUAACCUGCCCUUAAGUGGGGGAUAACAUUUGGAAACAGAUGCUAAUACCGCAUAAAUCCAAGAACCGCAUGGUUCUUGGCUGAAAGAUGGCGUAAGCUAUCGCUUUUGGAUGGACCCGCGGCGUAUUAGCUAGUUGGUGAGGUAACGGCUCACCAAGGCAAUGAUACGUAGCCGAACUGAGAGGUUGAUCGGCCACAUUGGGACUGAGACACGGCCCAAACUCCUACGGGAGGCAGCAGUAGGGAAUCUUCCACAAUGGACGCAAGUCUGAUGGAGCAACGCCGCGUGAGU